This 253-nucleotide ribosomal RNA is filed under the name uncultured bacterium. Its description in RNAcentral is "partial 16S ribosomal RNA". It matches the Rfam family "Bacterial small subunit ribosomal RNA", at positions 524 to 776 of the family's 1533-position model. The record is from RNAcentral.
GACGUAGGUGGCGAGCGUUAUCCGGAUCUACUGGGCGUAAAGCGCGUGCAGGCGGUUUGGUAAGUCGGGCGUGAAAUCUCCUGGCUCAACUGGGAGGGGUCGUCCGAAACUACUAGACUUGAGGGCAGUAGAGGGAGGUGGAAUUCCGGGAGUAGUGGUGAAAUGCGUAGAUAUCCGGAGGAACACCGGUGGCGAAAGCGGCCUCCUGGGCUGCCCCUGACGCUCAGACGCGAAAGCUAGGGGAGCGAACGGG